Molecule: long non-coding RNA, 451 nt
Filed under: Mytilus galloprovincialis (Mediterranean mussel)
Lineage: Eukaryota; Metazoa; Mollusca; Bivalvia; Mytilida; Mytilidae
Source: RNAcentral
GCUGAUGAUUUUCGUAUGUGCCUGUUAAAUUAUAUACAUGGUAAUGUCAAAACAAAACUGAAAUCCAUAUAUAUGUAGCAAAUUCUGGUAACCUAGCAACCAAUCUACAACCAUAAAUAUACAAUUUACACUUCUUUAUGAAUCACAACUGAAAAAUCAAAUAUAUACAGAAACCGUACAAAUAAAGGUACCCACUGGCAAGUUGAAACCAUGCAAAUAAAGAUCCCCACUGGUCAGAUGCAACCAUACAAAUUAAGAUACCCCAUGUUCAGUAAGAACCAUGCAAAUAUAGAUACCCACUGGUCAGUUGCAACCAUACUAAUUAAGAUACCCACUGGCAAGUUGAAACCAUACAAAUAAAAAUACCCACUGGUCAGUGGAAACCAUACAAAUAAAGAUACCCAUUGGUUAUUUACACAUAAACCAUAAAAAUAAAGACACUCACUGGUCA